CAGGCUUGCUUGGACGAAAACACUAGAUCUUGCCACUGUCCUUCCUGCAACAGCCAUACACACAUAUCCAAAUAACAUAACCAGGCAGUCCACACCUUCACAGUAGCAUACAAUCCAUACAAGACAAGAAACAUGGCUGGAACAUAUAAAUUUACGAAAAGUACUAACUACCCUAGCUUUCCUUCCCUGGAAAUAAGCUAGUACAAGACUCCCACACUAAAACAGUGGAAUUCGUGAAUAGUGAAUAAAGUUACAACUGCAGAAAAUGGGCCAAGAACACUGGAGUUAUUGAGCUUGACAAGUGGUGGGCAGAACAACAUGGUCUAACAGACUUGGAGUUUCUUAACCUGUACCUUCCAGUGGAAUAAAGAGUGAGCUCAAGUUGUGUACAAAUUGAGUUCACGUGUUUGACUAGAAGCUAAAGCUUGUAAACCUGUUGCUGGCUACCUCAAGGACUGAAUUAAACUAUUGCUAACAGUUAAUAGACCAGUUCUAAAUAGAAGUUCCAUAAUGUAUUAAGUUAACAAUGAAGGGAUCGAUGGAGUAGUAACCAAAUCAAUUCUCCUCUGUGGGGUGAGUAUCCAUGCCUUUUCUGCAACAAUUACCCAACCAAGGUUAGCUUUUUCUCUGUCAAUGGACACCCUAUGCAUUAGUGAUUUACAGAGUAUCUGGAUAGCAUUUAAUUGGUGCGGCAAAGCUAUAUAAUUUUUGUGGCAUUAUGCAGAUUGUGGGGCACUUUCUGUUAAUUGGGUUGCUUAUGAUGAAAACUGAAACAAAUAAAAGAAGAAAACGAUUCACUCAAAUAGGACUGAACUAGAAAAAAUACUUCCAUUGAACUGAAUUGUUUUUAGUUUAUACAGUUGAAAAUAAUUCAAAAUUUUGAACUCUUAGGUUCAGUUUGGUUUGAAAAACUAUGGUUAGGUUGAAUGAAUCAAACUAGGAAACAUUUAUUUCCAAACUGAAGAUUCUUUAACUGGGUAAUCUGCUAAGAAUGAAUAGGCUUUUAACUCCCUAGUAGAAUUUGUGACUCAGUUUUGAUAAAUUUUGUCAUCAUACAAACUUUCGCAUGUAUUAAUUAAUGUGAAAGUAUAGAGCCAGAAUAGAAUUUCACCACAUCACUGGUGUGUCCUUGCUAACAGUUAAGGAAGUGUAAUAAUGCACUUUCUUAAUCCCAAACUAUCCCAAACAAACACAAAGUUUUCGGUGCAACCAUAUGCCCCGGAGUCUGAUUCCAUUUGGUCGGGGUGUCUAUCCUUGUCUUUCAUUAAUCUAAGAAAGGGGAGUGCUUGCAAAUGGUAAUGCACUUUCUUACAUAGUGUUUGCAAUUGGUUAUCAAAUUUGUUGAAGGCUUGGGCAUAGGGGACCUAACUACGUCACUGACUAUUCUAAGAAAGUUAAAAAUGAGUAAAUCAAGUUUUUAUUCACUUGUACAUAUCUUGGAUAGAAUUUUUUUUUUUCAAAAAUGCAAUUUCAAGUUCAACCCGUGGAAAAGUGGCAGUGUUUAGAGCUUGCUGCAGAAAAAUACAAAAAAAG
This is a long non-coding RNA of Vigna unguiculata (cowpea), 1533 nucleotides long. The record is from RefSeq and is a predicted model, not a curated record. NCBI's taxonomy places the organism in Eukaryota, Viridiplantae, Streptophyta, Magnoliopsida, Fabales, Fabaceae.